AACGAACGCUGGCGGCAUGCCUAACACAUGCAAGUCGAACGAGACCUUCGGGUCUAGUGGCGCACGGGUGCGUAACGCGUGGGAACCUGCCCUUAGGUUCGGAAUAACUCCCCGAAAGGGGUGCUAAUACCGGAUAAUGUCUUCGGACCAAAGAUUUAUCGCCUUUGGAUGGGCCCGCGUUGGAUUAGCUAGUUGGUAGGGUAAAAGCCUACCAAGGCGACGAUCCAUAGCUGGUCUGAGAGGAUGAUCAGCCACACUGGGACUGAGACACGGCCCAGACUCCUACGGGAGGCAGCAGUGGGGAAUAUUGGACAAUGGGCGAAAGCCUGAUCCAGCAAUGCCGCGUGAGUGAUGAAGGCCUUAGGGUUGAAAGCUCUUUUACCCGGGAUGAUAAUGACAGUACCGGGAGAAUAAGCUCCGGCUAACUCCGUG
Molecule: ribosomal RNA, 432 nt
Filed under: uncultured bacterium
Lineage: Bacteria
Description: partial 16S ribosomal RNA
Rfam family: Bacterial small subunit ribosomal RNA
Source: RNAcentral